AGGACGAACGCUGGCGGCGUGCUUAACACAUGCAAGUCGAGCGGUAAGGCCUUUCGGGGUACACGAGCGGCGAACGGGUGAGUAACACGUGGGUGAUCUGCCCUGCACUCUGAGAUAAGCCUGGGAAACUGGGUCUAAUACCGGAUAUGACCUGCUCUCGCAGUGGGGGUGGGUGGAAAGAUUUAUCGGUGCAGGAGUGGGCCCGCGGCCUAUCAGCUUGUUGGUGGGUAAUGGCCUACCAAGGCGACGACGGGUAGCCGACCUGAGAGGGUGACCGGCCACACUGGGACUGAGACACGGCCCAGACUCCGAUGGGAGGCAGCGAGGUGGGAAUAUUGCAACGAAGUGGGACGAAAGCCGUAGAGUGACACGACGACGGCCGACGGUGGAAGGGA
This 395-nucleotide ribosomal RNA is filed under the name uncultured soil bacterium. RNAcentral describes it as "bacterial SSU rRNA". It matches the Rfam family "Bacterial small subunit ribosomal RNA", at positions 26 to 416 of the family's 1533-position model. The record is from RNAcentral.